UGAGACAGUUCGGUCCCUAUCCGGCGCGGGCGUAGGAUAUUUGAGAGGAGCUGUCCUUAGUACGAGAGGACCGGGAUGGACGGACCGCUGGUGUAUCUGUUGGGUACCAAGCCCAUGGCAGAGUAGCCAAGUCUGGACGGGAUAAACGCUGAAGGCAUCUAAGCGUGAAGCCCCCCUCAAGAUGAGAUAUCCCAUCGCGUAAGCUAGUAAGACCCCUUGAAGACGACGAGGUAGAUAGGUUAGAGGUGGAAGUGCAGUAAUGUAUGGAGCUGACUAAUACUAAUCGGUCGAGGGCUUAACCAA
RNAcentral lists this ribosomal RNA (303 nucleotides) under Enterocloster lavalensis. Its description in RNAcentral is "Clostridium lavalense Bacterial large subunit ribosomal RNA". It matches the Rfam family "Bacterial large subunit ribosomal RNA", at positions 2622 to 2925 of the family's 2925-position model. Lineage: Bacteria; Bacillati; Bacillota; Clostridia; Lachnospirales; Lachnospiraceae. The record is from Rfam by way of RNAcentral.